RNAcentral lists this unclassified non-coding RNA (373 nucleotides) under soil metagenome. RNAcentral describes it as "partial contains 5.8S ribosomal RNA, internal transcribed spacer 2, and large subunit ribosomal RNA". The stretch from base 1 to 121 matches the Rfam family "5.8S ribosomal RNA", at positions 35 to 154 of the family's 154-position model. The record is from RNAcentral.
GAUGAAGAACGUAGCGAAAUGCGAUAAGUAAUGCGAAUUGCAGAAUUCCAGUGAGUCAUCGAAUCUUUGAACGCACAUUGCGCCCUUUGGUAUUCCGAAGGGCAUGCCUGUUCGAGCGUCAUUAUCACCCCUCAAGCCCUCGGCUUGGUGUUGGACGGUUUGGUGGAGGCCCCCUCGGGGGCUCCUGCCCCUCCCAAAGACAAUGACGGCGGCCUCGUUGGACCCCCGGUACACUGAGUUCUUGACGGGACACGUAUCGGACACAUGGGUUUACGGGACACGGUCUGCCUCCCCUCAGGGAGAAUCUUUCUAAGGUUGACCUCGGAUCAGGUAGGGAUACCCGCUGAACUUAAGCAUAUCAAUAAGCGGAGGA